GCAUAUCAAUAAGCGGAGGAAAAGAAACCAACCGGGAUUGCCUCAGUAACGGCGAGUGAAGCGGCAARAGCUCAAAUUUGAAAGCUGGCUCCUUCGGAGUCCGCAUUGUAAUUUGCAGAGGAUGCUUUGGGUGCGGCCCCCGUCUAAGUGCCCUGGAACGGGCCGUCAGAGAGGGUGAGAAUCCCGUCUUGGGCGGGGUGUCCGUGCCCGUGUAAAGCUCCUUCGACGAGUCGAGUUGUUUGGGAAUGCAGCUCUAAAUGGGUGGUAAAUUUCAUCUAAAGCUAAAUACUGGCCGGAGACCGAUAGCGCACAAGUAGAGUGAUCGAAAGAUGAAAAGCACUUUGAAAAGAGAGUUAAACAGCACGUGAAAUUGUUGAAAGGGAAGCGCUUGCGACCAGACUCGCCCGCGGGGUUCAGCCGGCAUUCGUGCCGGUGUACUUCCCCGUGGGCGGGCCAGCGUCGGUUUGGGCGGCCGGUCAAAGGCCCCUGGAAUGUAGUACCCUCCGGGGUACCUUAUAGCCAGGGGUGCAAUGCGGCCAGCCUGGACCGAGGAACGCGCUUCGGCACGGACGCUGGCAUAAUGGUCGUAAACGACCCGUCUUGAAACACGGACCAAGGAGUCUAACAUCUACGCGAGUGUUCGGGUGUCAAACCCGUGCGCGCAGUGAAAGCGAACGGAGGUGGGAGCCCCCUCGCGGGGCGCACCAUCGACCGAUCCUGAUGUCUUCGGAUGGAUUUGAGUAAGAGCGUAAAUGUGGGGACCCGAAAGAUGGUGAACUAUGCCUGAAUAGGGCGAAGCCAGAGGAAACUCUGGUGGAGGCUCGCAGCGGUUCUGACGUGCAAAUCGAUCGUCAAAUUUGGGUAUAGGGGCGAAAGACUAAUCGAACCAUCUAGUAGCUGGUUCCUGCCGAAGU
RNAcentral lists this ribosomal RNA (914 nucleotides) under Aspergillus ficuum. RNAcentral's name for it is "LSU rRNA". It matches the Rfam family "Eukaryotic large subunit ribosomal RNA", at positions 38 to 967 of the family's 3401-position model. Lineage: Eukaryota; Fungi; Ascomycota; Eurotiomycetes; Eurotiales; Aspergillaceae. The record is from RNAcentral.